RNAcentral lists this ribosomal RNA (498 nucleotides) under uncultured bacterium. RNAcentral describes it as "bacterial SSU rRNA". It matches the Rfam family "Bacterial small subunit ribosomal RNA", at positions 28 to 507 of the family's 1533-position model. The record is from RNAcentral.
GGCUAACGCUGGCGGCGUGUCUUAGCCAUGCAAGUCGAGCGGACUUAUGGGGUAACUUAUAAGUCAGCGGCGGACGGCGGAGUAACACGUAGCUAACCUACCCUCUGGACGGGGAUAACCUACCGAAAGGUGGGCUAAUACCCGAUGUAGUCAUCCUGUAUAGGGGUGAUGAAAGGUGGGCUUCUGUUUACAAGCUCAUGCUGGAGGAGGGGGCUGCGGCCUAUCAGGUAGUUGGUAGGGUAAUAGCCUACCAAGCCGAUGACGGGUAGCCGGCCUGAGAGGGUGACCGGCCCGAGGGGCACUGAGAUACGGGUCCCACUCCUACGGGAGGCAGCAGGCUAGAAAUUUGGGCAAUGGGGGAAACCCUGACCCAGUGACGCCGCGUGCAGGAAGGAGCCCUUCGGGGUGUAAACUGCCGUCGUGUAGGGAGAAGGGUACUAAGGUGAACAAUCUUAGUACUUGACGGUACUACAGGAGGAAGCCCAGGCUAACCUCGUG